Molecule: long non-coding RNA, 244 nt
Filed under: Mytilus galloprovincialis (Mediterranean mussel)
Lineage: Eukaryota; Metazoa; Mollusca; Bivalvia; Mytilida; Mytilidae
Source: RNAcentral
CCUUUUCGUUAAUCAUCAGAACACCCUGUAGCCUCUCGUUAUCUACAAAUCUGCUCAUCAUGUAACUUUAUGGUGUCCAAUCAUGAAACUUUCCAGUGUUGUUUCAUGAACAGAUAACGAUUCAGUGUCAAAUCACUUAACUUUGCAAUGUUGAGUAACACAAUUUUUUGGUGUCGAUUCACUUAACUAUUCAGUGUCAAAUCACUAAACUUUGCAAUGUUGAAUCAUUAUACUUUGCUGUGUG